GAUGAACGCUGGCGGCGUGCCUAAUACAUGCAAGUCGAGCGAACAGACGAGGAGCUUGCUCCUCUGUCGUUUGCGGCACACGUGAGUAUAACACGUGUAUAACGUCCCUAUAAUACUGGGAUCACUUCGGAACACCGGCGCUUAUACCGUAUAAUCUAUUGAACCGCAUGGUGCAUUGGUAAAAUACGGUUUUGCUGUCACUUCUAGCUGGAUAUCCGCCGCAUUAGCUAGUUGGUAAGGUAACAGCCUACCAAGGCGACGAUGCGUAACCGAACUGAUAGAGUGGUCGGCCACACUGGAACGUAGACACGGUCCAGACUCCUACGGGAGGCAGCAGUAGGGAAUCUUACGCAACGGGCGAAAGCCUGACGGAGCAAGCGGGCGUGAGUGAUGAAGGUCUUCCGAUCGUAAAACUCUGUUAUUAGGGAAGAACAAAUGUGUAAGUAACUAUGGACGUCUUGACGGUAACGAAUCAGAAAGCAACGGCUAACUACGUG
This 497-nucleotide ribosomal RNA is filed under the name uncultured bacterium. RNAcentral describes it as "partial 16S ribosomal RNA". It matches the Rfam family "Bacterial small subunit ribosomal RNA", at positions 28 to 507 of the family's 1533-position model. The record is from RNAcentral.